Molecule: ribosomal RNA, 526 nt
Filed under: Botryosphaeria dothidea
Lineage: Eukaryota; Fungi; Ascomycota; Dothideomycetes; Botryosphaeriales; Botryosphaeriaceae
Description: eukaryotic LSU rRNA
Rfam family: 5.8S ribosomal RNA (bases 154-307)
Source: RNAcentral
CUCCUCCACCCUUUGUGUACCUACCUCUGUUGCUUUGGCGGGCCGCGGUCCUCCGCGGCCGCCCCCCUCCCCGGGGGGUGGCCAGCGCCCGCCAGAGGACCAUCAAACUCCAGUCAGUAAACGAUGCAGUCUGAAAAACAUUUAAUAAACUAAAACUUUCAACAACGGAUCUCUUGGUUCUGGCAUCGAUGAAGAACGCAGCGAAAUGCGAUAAGUAAUGUGAAUUGCAGAAUUCAGUGAAUCAUCGAAUCUUUGAACGCACAUUGCGCCCUUUGGUAUUCCGAAGGGCAUGCCUGUUCGAGCGUCAUUACAACCCUCAAGCUCUGCUUGGUAUUGGGCACCGUCCUUUGCGGGCGCGCCUCAAAGACCUCGGCGGUGGCGUCUUGCCUCAAGCGUAGUAGAACAUACAUCUCGCUUCGGAGCGCAGGGCGUCGCCCGCCGGACGAACCUUCUGAACUUUUCUCAAGGUUGACCUCGGAUCAGGUAGGGAUACCCGCUGAACUUAAGCAUAUCAAUAAGCGGAGGA